AAAAAAAAAAAAAAAAAAAAGGGCCCCUCUUUUCAGUUGGGAUCUUUCAUAUAUUUGAUGUCUUAAAAUUGAUGGAGGGGUCAUGUGUGGUAUUUGAUUAAUUUUUACUAGUUCUUCAGUAGAGUCUGGAAAUAUGUUGCGUUCAGAACAGGAAUAGGAUGUUGUUUCGUUGUGCUACAGAGUUACUAUGGUCGUUGAAGCUUGCUAUGGUGGUUGAAGCUUGCUUGUCGGCAUGCUUAAGUUCACCUACAUUGAUAAUAUUAUAUUAAAUCCCCACAUUACGUUAGGUGAUUUGAACCCUCAAAGCUCCAAUCUCGAUGAAUGAAGUUCUCAGUUAAACGAAAACAUUGGCGGUUUGAUUCUUGCGUGUUGCUUGACACCUUUUUAAAUCGAAGGAGAUUUAUAUUUAAGAAAUCAUUGCCCAGAGUAGUGCAAUGUUUUUAUUUGGUGUUAAGAGGACAAUUAAUAGCUGAUCAUUCUCCAUUCUCCAAUGGGAAAACGCUAAACCCACACGGCCGAUUACAAUUGAUUAAAAAGGACCUGAUUUCAAUGGCGGGCGAUCCAAAUUCCACAAGCACCUCUCUGAAAUUCUCCACUCACCCCAUGGUUGCACAAAUUCUUCGUUGUUACUUUUAUAAUUUGUCUUCGAUUAAGGGAGUGUUAAUCUAGUUUUUUGGCUUCAUCUUGGAAUUGUAAUGUGUGCAGUGAUUGUAAAUUGAGCAUGUAUUCUUCUUACAAUGAAUAUGUUUUUCAUUAUCCACUAUAGUCG
Molecule: unclassified non-coding RNA, 769 nt
Filed under: Hevea brasiliensis (rubber tree)
Lineage: Eukaryota; Viridiplantae; Streptophyta; Magnoliopsida; Malpighiales; Euphorbiaceae
Source: RNAcentral